RNAcentral lists this ribosomal RNA (459 nucleotides) under uncultured bacterium. RNAcentral's name for it is "partial 16S ribosomal RNA". It matches the Rfam family "Bacterial small subunit ribosomal RNA", at positions 338 to 795 of the family's 1533-position model. The record is from RNAcentral.
CCUACGGGUGGCAGCAGUGAGGAAUAUUGGUCAAUGGCCGGAAGGCUGAACCAGCCAAGCCGCGUGAAGGACGAAGGUGCCAAGCAUUGUAAACCUCUUUUGUCGGGGAACAAAGGCGUCCACGGGUGGGCGGAUGAGUGUACCCGAAGAAAAAGCAUCGGCUAACUCCGUGCCAGCAGCCGCGGUAAUACGGAGGAUGCGAGCGUUAUCCGGAUUUAUUGGGUUUAAAGGGUGCGUAGGCGGACAGUCAAGUCAGCGGUAAAAAUGCGGUGCUCAACGCCGUACAGCCGUUGAAACUGGUAGUCUUGAGUGGGCGAGAAGUAUGCGGAAUGCGUGGUGUAGCGGUGAAAUGCAUAGAUAUCACGCAGAACUCCGAUUGCGAAGGCAGCAUACCGGCGCCCUACUGACGCUGAGGCUCGAAAGUGUGGGUAUCAAACAGGAUUAGAUACCCUUGUAGUC